Molecule: long non-coding RNA, 1560 nt
Filed under: Homo sapiens (human)
Lineage: Eukaryota; Metazoa; Chordata; Mammalia; Primates; Hominidae
Description: HSALNT0408386
Source: RNAcentral
AUGAUAUAGUAAGUCAAAGGAGAACGCCAGAUUGAAAAAAGUGCAUCUGCCUCUAAUUUGUGGUGUGAUCCGACACAGUCUGGCUUAGCCUGUUUGGUCUGCUUGAUUGUCCGCAGCUACAGAAACUACCGUGUUGAUACAUACAAAGAAAGGCUCUUUUAAAAGCCCAGAGUAUGUCAUGCUGAGCAUCAUCCUUGAAAACAGCAAGAUCGACUAGAGGGAGAAGAAAUGUGGCUAAAAGAUGGAAAGGAUCGAGUCCUGAUGUUUGUCCCUGUUUCUGUUGAAGUCAUUCUGUGACCUAAAAUCAUUUCUGAUCACUAGGUUUCACAAUUAUUGACAGAGAAUACCUACUGUACUCUGUUCAAUUACUUUAUCUGUUAAAAUUUCACAUCAGUAAUAACCCUAACUUUUACAAAUUCUAAGCAAGAUCUUUGAAAUCUUCCCAUUUGAGUUCAGGCACAUCACUAUAGGCUGGUUUUGGGAGAUAGCAAAAAAAGAGAAAGAAUGAGCUAUUCCAUUCCCAGGAGUACUGUGUACUGGGUCGGAAUGGGGAAUUGUAUCACUGUAUGCUGAACUUUUGGAAUGCCCACAGCAUAAAUUCUGACAAUGUCAGUGUAUUUGAAUGAACACAAAUUUCAAAGUUGAGUAGUUUGUUGGAUGUGGUGGUCUCUCAGCAUUCUACUUUCCCAUUAUUUUAUACCUCUUGUUCAUUUAAUUGGGAAUUAACUGUGGUUUAAAUCUAUGAAAAAUAUCUUGGGCAUAUGGAGAAAGAACAAAUGUCCAAAGUUGCCUUUUUAAAAGUGUUUCAUUUUUUUAAAUUGACAAAUAAAGUUAUAUAUAUCUAUCAUGUACAACAUGAUGUUUCAAAAUGUAUAUACAUAGUAGAAUUCCUAACCCAAGCUAAUUAACAUGUGCAUUACCUUACAGAGAUUUUAAGUGUUCUCACCACAAAAAAAAACUAUAUAAGGUUAUGCAAAGUUGACUUUUAUCUUAACUAUUUACAAUGUAUAUAAAAGUAUGACAGUAUAUGUACAAGUCUUAAAGUCCUAAAUAUCCUUUUAAAAAAUGCAAAGAUUCCAUAUAAUUCCUGAGCUUUCCUCAUGUAUAUUGCUAUACAACUUCAGGAAAAAUGUCAUACCAACUAUUUCUGUAUCUAAACAGAUUUCCCAACAAAAAGAAAAAAGAGCAAGUUGUCUCAGGAACAAUGGUAGGACAUAAGUUAUCUGACUGUAUCACUUGGGAUUGAAAAUUAAAGGCCUGUUUCCAUAAUGGAACUAUUUUGAGGAAUUGACAUUACUGCCGUAACAACAAAUAAUUCACAGGUAUCUUUAACUGACUCUAAAGCCUCUAGAUACUGAAUUAGAUGAUGUACACUUCCAAUAAAAGAGAAUAGGCUGCAUCUUGCUGCUUCAGCUAAUUGUGGAUUUUUAUUUCAUGUUUUAUUAGAGGGAGUAUCAUAAUCCUUUCUUUCCAUCCAUUCCAUAAUCCAUCCUUUCCAUGUUGGGUCAAAUUUUCUUAUCCUAACCUGAAAUACUGCUUUUGUUUCACACUCUGCCCAGG